RNAcentral lists this unclassified non-coding RNA (306 nucleotides) under uncultured Chytridiomycota. RNAcentral's name for it is "sequence contains ITS2". Lineage: Eukaryota; Fungi; Chytridiomycota. The record is from RNAcentral.
CAAAAACUCACAAGCUUCUUCUUGCCCGUCAUGGGUUCAAGUCGAGCGGUUUGUGGAUUUGAGUGUCUGUUUGUUCUGGUCUAUUUUGACCGGAUCAAUCGCUCUGAAAAAAUUGUGCGUAGGGCAGAAGAUACGGCUUGGAAUGUGCUUUCAGUACUUUCUUAGGCGUGCAUUUAGUCCAACUCUCAGUGCAACAAAUCUUUGAAACACUUUGAGGAAUACUGGUGCGGGCAUAUGUCCAUCCCUGUUUUACGCACCUCAAUCCAACACGGUGCCUGCUCGCAAUUUUUGCGAGUGGUUCCGAUA